RNAcentral lists this ribosomal RNA (483 nucleotides) under Triticum aestivum (bread wheat). RNAcentral describes it as "partial small subunit ribosomal RNA". Lineage: Eukaryota; Viridiplantae; Streptophyta; Magnoliopsida; Poales; Poaceae. The record is from RNAcentral.
AUGCUCGAAGCACUUGGUUGUGUCUUCCCGGAGUUGCUGGCCCGCAAUGGUGUGAAGUUCGUUGAGGCCAUUUGGUUUAAGGCCGGCUCCCAGAUCUUUAGGGAGGGUGGUCUUGACUAUCUUGGUAACCCCAGCCUCGUCCACGCGCAAAGCAUCCUAGCUAUUUGGGCAUGCCAGGUUGUGCUCAUGGGUGCCGUUGAGGGGUACCGCAUGGCCGGCGGCCCGCUUGGCGAGAUCGUCGAUCCACUAUACCCGGGCGGCAGCUUCGACCCUCUUGGCCUAGCUGACGACCCUGAGGCAUUUUCCGAGCUCAAGGUGAAGGAGAUCAAGAAUGGUCGUCUUGCCAUGUUCUCAAUGUUUGGCUUCUUUGUCCAAGCUAUAGUCACGGGCAAGGGCCCUCUUGAGAACCUUGCUGACCACAUCGCCGACCCUGUCGACAACAAUGCAUGGGCAGUCGCCACCAACUUUGUCCCCGGCAAGUAA